ACGCCUGUGGGGGAAGGCUAAAAUGCAAGUCGAACGGUAGCACAGAGAGCUUGCUCUCGGGGUGACGAGUGGCGGGACGGGUGAGUAAUGUCUGGGAAACUGCCUGAUGGAGGGGGAUAACUACUGGAAACGGUAGCUAAUACCGCAUAACGUCGCAAGACCAAAGAGGGGGACCUUCGGGCCUCUUGCCAUCAGAUGUGCCCAGAUGGGAUUAGCUAGUAGGUGGGGUAACGGCUCACCUAGGCGACGAUCCCUAGCUGGUCUGAGAGGAUGACCAGCCACACUGGAACUGAGACACGGUCCAGACUCCUACGGGAGGCAGCAGUGGGGAAUAUUGCACAAUGGGCGCAAGCCUGAUGCAGCCAUGCCGCGUGUAUGAAGAAGGCCUUCGGGUUGUAAAGUACUUUCAGCGGGGAGGAAGGUGUUGUGGUUAAUAACCACAGCAAUUGACGUUACCCGCAGAAGAAGCACCGGCUAACUCCGUGCCAGCAGCCGCGGUAAUACGGAGGGUGCAAGCGUUAAUCGGAAUUACUGGGCGUAAAGCGCACGCAGGCGGUCUGUCAAGUCGGAUGUGAAAUCCCCGGGCUCAACCUGGGAACUGCAUUCGAAACUGGCAGGCUAGAGUCUUGUAGAGGGGGGUAGAAUUCCAGGUGUAGCGGUGAAAUGCGUAGAGAUCUGGAGGAAUACCGGUGGCGAAGGCGGCCCCCUGGACAAAGACUGACGCUCAGGUGCGAAAGCGUGGGGAGCAAACAGGAUUAGAUACCCUGGUAGUCCACGCCGUAAACGAUGUCGACUUGGGAGGUUGUGCCCUUGAGGCGUGGCUUCCGGAGCUAACGCGUUAAGUCGACCGCCUGGGAGUACGGCCGCAAGGUUAAAACUCAAAUGAAUUGACGGGGGCCCGCACAAGCGGUGGAGCAUGUGGUUUAAUUCGAUGCAACGCGAAGAACCUUACCUACUCUUGACAUCCAGAGAACUUUCAGAGAUGGGAUUGGUGCCUUCGGGACUCUGAGACAGUGCUGCAUGGCUGUCGUCAGCUCGUGUUGUGAAAUGUUGGGUUAAGUCCCGCAACGGAGCGCAACCUUAUCU
This 1086-nucleotide ribosomal RNA is filed under the name Enterobacter kobei. RNAcentral's name for it is "bacterial SSU rRNA". It matches the Rfam family "Bacterial small subunit ribosomal RNA", at positions 33 to 1109 of the family's 1533-position model. Lineage: Bacteria; Pseudomonadati; Pseudomonadota; Gammaproteobacteria; Enterobacterales; Enterobacteriaceae. The record is from RNAcentral.